GAUUUAUUAGAACAAAACCAACCGGCUAUGCCGGUAGUUUGAUGACUCUGGAUAACUUUGCUGAUCGCACGGCCUUGAGCCAGCGACGUAUCUUUCAAGUGUCUGCCUUAUCAACUUUCGAUGGUAGAUUAUGCGCCUACCAUGGUUGUAACGGGUAACGGAGAAUCAGGGUUUGAUUCCGGAGAGGGAGCCUGAGAAACGGCUACCACAUCCAAGGAAGGCAGCAGGCACGCAAAUUACCCACUCCCGGCACGGGGAGGUAGUGACGAAAAAUAACAAGCUGGUCUCAAUGAGUUCCAGCAUUGUAAUGGGAACAAUUUAAAUCUUUUAUCGAGGAUCUAUUGGAGGGCAAGUCUGGUGCCAGCAGCCGCGGUAAUUCCAGCUCCAAUAGCGUAUAUUAAAGUUGUUGCGGUUAAAAAGCUCGUAGUUGGAUCUAGGAUUAGGGCUACGGUCGUUCAGCUUGGACGUACUGUAUGCCCGACUCCUUUUCUCUAGUAUUCGAUUGUUGCUCUUAAAUGAGUGACUUUAGUUGCUGGAACUUUUACCUUGAAAAAAUUGAAGUGCUCAAAGCAGGUU
Molecule: ribosomal RNA, 576 nt
Filed under: uncultured eukaryote
Lineage: Eukaryota
Description: bacterial SSU rRNA
Rfam family: Eukaryotic small subunit ribosomal RNA
Source: RNAcentral